UUGGAGGGCAAGUCUGGUGCCAGCAGCCGCGGUAAUUCCAGCUCCAAUAGCGUAUAUUAAAGUUGUUGCAGUUAAAAAGCUCGUAGUUGAAUUUCGGGGUUAGUAGGUUGGUCAUGCCACUGGUAUGUACUGGUCUCACUGAUUCCUCCUUCCUGAUGAGCCGUAAUGCCAUUAAUUUGGUGUUGCGAGGAAUCUGGACUGUUACUUUGAAAAAAUUAGAGUGUUUAAAGCAAGCUAACGCUUGAAUACAUUAGCAUGGAAUAAUGAAAUAGGACGUUCGAUCUUAUUUUGUUGGUUUCUAGGAUUGACGUAAUGAUUAAUAGGGAUAGUUGGGGGCAUUAGUAUUCAAUUGUCAGAGGUGAAAUUCUUGGAUUUAUUGAAGACUAACUACUGCGAAAGCAUUUGCCAAGGAUGUUUUCAUUAAUCAAGAACGAAAGUUAGGGGAUCGAAGACGAUCAGAUACCGUCGUAGUCUUAACCAUAAACUAUGCCGACUAGGGAUCGGAUGAUGUUAAUUUUUUAAUGACUCAUUCGGCGCCUUACGGGAAACCAAAGUGUUUGGGUUC
This 565-nucleotide ribosomal RNA is filed under the name uncultured Glomus. Its description in RNAcentral is "SSU rRNA". It matches the Rfam family "Eukaryotic small subunit ribosomal RNA", at positions 548 to 1114 of the family's 1831-position model. The record is from RNAcentral. RNAcentral also lists the same sequence under 1 other name. Lineage: Eukaryota; Fungi; Glomeromycota; Glomeromycetes; Glomerales; Glomeraceae.